AAUAGAUACCCAGGUAGUCCACGCCCUAAACGAUGCUCACUAGGUGUUGGGGAAGCGAUUCCUUGGUACCGUAGCUAACGCGUGAAGUGAGCCGCCUGGGGAGUACGGCCGCAAGGUUAAAACUCAAAGGAAUUGACGGGGACCCGCACAAGCGGUGGAUGAUGUGGAUUAAUUCGAUGCAACGCGAACAACCUUACCUACCCUUGACAUGUCCGGAAGCCUGCUGAAAGGUGGGUGUGCUCGAAAGAGAACCGGAACACAGGUGCUGUAUGGCUGUCGUCAGCUCGUGUCGUGAGAUGUUGGGUUAAGUCCCGCAACGAGCGCAACCCUUGUCCCUAGUUGCUACGCAAGGGCACUCUAGGGAGACUGCCGGUGACAAACCGGAGGAAGGUGGGGAUGACGUCAAGUCCUCAUGGCCCUUAUGGGUAGGGCUUCACACGUCAUACAAUGGACGGUACAGAGGGUUGCCAACCCGCGAGGGGGAGCCAAUCCCAGAAAGCCGUUCGUAGUCCGGAUCGCAGUCUGCAACUCGACUGCGUG
Molecule: ribosomal RNA, 540 nt
Filed under: uncultured bacterium
Lineage: Bacteria
Description: bacterial SSU rRNA
Rfam family: Bacterial small subunit ribosomal RNA
Source: RNAcentral